GUUGCACCAUUCUGAGACCGGAUUGGCUCAAGACCGACUCCAAGCUGUUGUCAGUGGAAACCAUCAAUGGCGUCCGUUGCUAUGGUUACGGCAAGCCGGGCGCUGUGGCUCCAGAUGACGUGUGGUAUGCAGAUGUGUGUGGCAUGCCCUGUCGAUACCACGAGGUGGUGGUGCACAUCGAUCACAACCUGACCUUUGACCGCGAGAGUUUCAAGGUCGGGCCACAGAGCCCAGAACUGUUCGAGUUCCCUCGUUUCUGCAACAAGCCAUGCCCACAUCCGUACAAGCCGCCACACCACUAGGCACUUGUUGUUCGCUGCAGAUGUAGAGAACUUCUGUGUUGCCUUUAACUAAUUGUUUAGAAGUGCUUACUUGUAAUAAAAUUUCCUUCAGUCACUUCAUUUGGAGGUAAUAAAAAGAA
Molecule: long non-coding RNA, 421 nt
Organism: Aplysia californica (California sea hare)
Lineage: Eukaryota; Metazoa; Mollusca; Gastropoda; Aplysiida; Aplysiidae
Exons: 2
Source: RefSeq, a predicted model, not a curated record